UCAUUUAUUUAAUAUGUACAGGAGCUACAGUUUAUAAUGGAAAACCCUACAUCCACAACCCAACUGACAACAAGUGCUACUAUGGUAGUCUUGAACCUUUAGCUACCUGGGAUAUACCUGGGAUGUUUUGUUUUAUAAUACAUACAAAGAGAACACGUUCACAAAUAAAAUAGAAGAUGGGCCCAAAUGCCUAGUAUCCGUAAAUUUCUUUUCUGUGAAGGUCCUAUCAAUUGGAUGUCAAUGUAUGAACUUCUUCUUCUGUAAAUAUAGUUUUGAUAAUGGAAUAAUUGUUGAUUUUGACAGUUUUUACUUAAAUCUUGAUCCAGAGUAAAUAUAUUUUAAAUCAAAUAAAUUAUAAAGGCAA
Eurytemora carolleeae is the source of this 364-nucleotide long non-coding RNA. RefSeq lists it as uncharacterized. The record is from RefSeq and is a predicted model, not a curated record. NCBI's taxonomy places the organism in Eukaryota, Metazoa, Arthropoda, Copepoda, Calanoida, Temoridae. The transcript has 2 exons.